RNAcentral lists this ribosomal RNA (3179 nucleotides) under Drosophila ananassae. RNAcentral describes it as "eukaryotic LSU rRNA". The stretch from base 1933 to 3179 matches the Rfam family "Eukaryotic large subunit ribosomal RNA". Lineage: Eukaryota; Metazoa; Arthropoda; Insecta; Diptera; Drosophilidae. The record is from RNAcentral.
CUUGAGUCAUAUAGAGGUAUUUGUCUGCUACCAGUUCUAGGAAAAAUUUUAGAAGGCAUAAUGAUAAUUCGGCUAAAAGAUAUCCUACCAGAAAGAAACAGAUGGCAGUUUGGAUUUACUACCAAUAAAUGCGUGCCUUUAGAAAUGUUACAGAGACAAUUAAUGCAUGUCAGUCACAAUAUAUACUGGAAUUUUCGUUGAUUUCAAAAGAGCAUUUGACAAUAUUGAGUGGAGUGCAGUUAUGAAUGUUCUUGCCGAAAUUAAUUGCCCGGAAAUAGCAAUUUGGAAAAGCUACUUUUCAGAUAGACCUGGGUGUAUUUGUGGUCUAUAUGAAACUUCGAGUGUGCCUAUUACUAAAGGAUGUCCUCAAGGAUCUAUUAGUGGCCUAUUCAUUUGGAAUUUUCUUAUGAAUAUUUUUCUUGAGAGAUUAGAGCCGUUAUGCCCUUUCAGUGCGUAUGCAGAUGACUUAUUGCUUCUUAUUGCAGGAAACUCAAGAGCAGAAAUUGAAAAUAAAGGUAGACAAAUUAUGAACAUAGUUGGAGCUUGGGGAGAUGAAAAUAGAGUCAAAGUAUCAACAUUAAAAACCGUAAUCAUGCAUCUAAAAGGAAAGCUAAGUAACAAUAGACAUCCGAUUGUGAGUUUUGAAGGGGCAAACCUGCCAUAUGUAUAUGUCCAACGGUAUCUUGGAAUUAUUAUAGGAGAAAGAAUGAAUUUUUUGAAACACGUAGCUGCCAUUCGUGAUCGAAUAUCUAGCACAGCAUCAGUUCUGGCUAGGGUACUCCGUGUAGACUGGGGGUUAAAGCUGCAUGCACGACGAAGAAUAUACACUGGACUCAUGAUUCCAUGUAUGUUGUUUGUAGUGGCAAUUUGGUACCCAGUCAUACAGAAACAAAUUAGAGCAAAGAUUCGUCUUUUGUCAAGUCAAAGGAUGGUUUUACUUAGUUGUUUACCAAUAUGUCACACAGUAUCCACUUCGGCACUACAAGUUCUGGCAGGCACACCUCCCCUAGACCUUUAGGCUAAUCACAAUAAAACAUAAGCUAAAGAAAGGACUGCCACUUGACAAUGAUGACUGGCUAUAUAAUCUGGAUCACACAAAUAUCAACUGGGAUACAAAAAAAGCAUUGCUUGAAGAAACGAUGAUUGAAGAAUGGCAAAACAGAUGGGACUGCGACAUUAAUGGAAGAGUUACACAUAAAUUCUUACCAGAAGCAGCGUUUGUCUUCAAAAACAAAAAUUUCACAUUUAAGCUGAAGGCUGGAUUUUUUAUAACUGGACAUGGAUCUUUGAAUGCAUUUCUCUAUCCUAGAAACAGUCCUAGCAGUUCUUAGAACCUAGCAGUUCUAAACGAAGAUUGGCAACAUGUAUUGUGUGACUGUAUAUUGUAUGACGAUAUAAGAAAUGUGGAUGCUUUGGGAAUAGUUGGUGAGCCUAGUGACUGGGACUUCUCAGGGAUUCUCAAAAAUCCAGAACAGGUGAGAUUACUAAAUUUGUUUGCCGAGGCUGUUUUUAGACGUCGUUCAGGUGUUUAUCGGACGCUGGCCUUGCUCAAUGGGUUGCCAGUUCCGGACUAACGUCAAAACUGGCAAACAAGUUUACCUCAUCCGAGCGUGUGGGCGCUGAAGAGGGAGGGGCCACCGAGCCCUUAAUUUCGGUACCACGGGUGAACAGUGCCAAGGCUGUUCAAUGAGGUUGGCCCCCUUGUGGGAGUUCGUGGUGGCUGUUGUUGACACCCAAAUGCGGGUAGAGCCCUGGGGCUCGACGUGGAGUUGCGUUAUACAACCGGGUGCCCCAACCCAUAGACCGGAAGAAGUGUUAGAUACACUUCGCCCCUCAACAAGAGGAAGUUUUCAGUCCGACUCACAGAUACUUAAAUUGGUACCAGGCUAGUUGCUAUGUAUUUGCUAAAGCUUCUAUUUUAGGGCGUUUGCAGGCGCUUAAACCUGGCACAUGCAUCAUAUACCCACUUGUGGGUAUAUAAGGGUGCCGUGGUUGUAAUCCACUUUCAGUGGAACACGCCACGUUAAAUAAACAAGGAGAGAUCCUAGACGUCCACUGUCCCUAUCUACUAUCUAGCGAAACCACAGCCAAGGGAACGGGCUUGAAAUAAUUAGCGGGGAAAGAAGACCCUUUUGAGCUUGACUCUAAUCUGGCAGUGUAAGGACACAUAAGAGGUGUAGAAUAAGUGGCAGAUAUUAGACUUCGGUUUGGUAUCGCCAAUGAAGUACCACUACUCUUAUUGUUUCCUUACUUACUUGAUUAAAUGGAAUGUGUAUCAUUUUCUAGCCAUUAUACGGAUAUAUUUAUUAUCUCUUAUGGUAUUCGGUUUUGAUGCAAUCUUCUUGAUCAAAGUAUCACGAGUUUGUUAUAUAAUCUCAAACAAAUUCUUUAAUGAGAGAUGCAUUUACUGUAUUAUUGAUUUGAAAAUUUGGUAUAACUCCAAUUACUCAGGUAUGAUCAAAUUCAAGGACAUUGCCAGGUAGGGAGUUUGACUGGGGCGGUACAUCUCUCAAAUAAUAACGGAGGUGUCCUAAGGCCAGCUCAGUGCGGACAGAAACCACACAUAGAGCAAAAGGGCAAAUGCUGACUUGAUCUCGGUGUUCAGUACACACAGGGACAGCAAAAGCUCGGCCUAUCGAUCCUUUUGGUUUAAAGAGUUUUUAACAAGAGGUGUCAGAAAAGUUACCAUAGGGAUAACUGGCUUGUGGCGGCCAAGCGUUCAUAGCGACGUCGCUUUUUGAUCCUUCGAUGUCGGCUCUUCCUAUCAUUGUGAAGCAAAAUUCACCAAGCGUUGGGUUGUUCACCCAUGCAAGAGAACGUGAGCUGGGUUUAGACCGUCGUGAGACAGGUUAGUUUUACCCUACUAAUGACAAAACGUUGUUGCGACAGCAUUCCUGCGUAGUACGAGGGGAACCGCAGGUUCGGACCAAUGGCACAAUACUUGUUUGAGCGAACAGUGGUAUGGCGCUACGUCCGUUGGAUUAUGCCUGAACGCCUCUAAGGUCGUAUCCGUGCUGGACUGCAAUGAUAAAUAAGGGGCAAUUUGCAUUGCUAAACCAUUUAAAGUUUAUUAUUUAUAUUUUAAACGACAAUGGAUGUGAUGCCAAUGUAAUUUGUAACAUAGUAAAUUGGGAGGAUCUUUGAUAACCUGGUGGCAGUUACAUAUGAAAACAUUAUUU